ACUGAAACAAGAGGUGAAAAAGGCAUUAAUGCCCUAUGAGAGGGACAGGGAAGAAGAUUAUGAUCAUGUUGGCGUGGAAAAACAGCUUAGCAAGGAUGUGAAACAAGAGCAUCAGCAGCUCAGCAAGGCACUGAUGCCUUAUGAGAGUGAAGAGGAAGAGGAUGAUUAGGCUUUCUCUGAGGAUCAAAGUUAGCUGCAGACUCCAUCUCCUUCAAGUUUGAUUAGACUUUUCUUUGACCAUUCAAAACAAAGUUAGCUGCAGACUUUUCUUUGCAGUACUUGUGAUGCUCUCUGCAAAACAAAUGUUUACUUGGAGAAAAGCUAUACACUAAUGGAAAUAAAUAAACGUUUGGGUGAGAUAAUGAAUGUGGUUUUUAAUAGGCUAGAUCUCUUCUUUGCUUCUUCCUUGUUUUGAGCUUCUUCAAAUCUUGCAAACUUUCUUUAUGGUUGGUGAUUUGUUAUUCGUACCAGAUCUUUUCUUCUAGAAAGUGGUGUAUUUCUGUAGUUCUUUCAGCAGAUGUUCUUGGUGUUAUAUAUUCUAAGAAACUGAUCAUUUCUUGUCA
Long non-coding RNA from Raphanus sativus (radish), 563 nucleotides. RefSeq lists it as uncharacterized. NCBI's taxonomy places the organism in Eukaryota, Viridiplantae, Streptophyta, Magnoliopsida, Brassicales, Brassicaceae. The record is from RefSeq and is a predicted model, not a curated record. The transcript is spliced from 4 exons.